GCAUACGGCCAUUCCACCCUGAACACCGCCGAUCUCGUCUGAUCUCAGAAGCUAAGCAGGGUCAGGCCUGCUUAGUACUUGGAUGGAAGACCACCUAGGAAGACCGGUGCCAUAGGCA
This 118-nucleotide ribosomal RNA is filed under the name Pteropus alecto (black flying fox). The record is from RNAcentral. Lineage: Eukaryota; Metazoa; Chordata; Mammalia; Chiroptera; Pteropodidae.